Molecule: microRNA, 21 nt
Filed under: Mus musculus (house mouse)
Lineage: Eukaryota; Metazoa; Chordata; Mammalia; Rodentia; Muridae
Description: mmu-miR-12192-5p
Source: miRBase by way of RNAcentral
UGUGGGGUAUAGCUAGAAAGA